UAUUAAAAAUAUGUAAUGUUCAUGUUUUCACACAGCUCCGAUGCACGACUGGAGUUUACCCCUUCAGAUUAACUGUCUAAAUAGGCACAAAAAGGCUUACUAGACUAAGAAAUAUAUUAUUACUAUAUCAAAUUGUAAAUAAAUGAAUCCAAUAACGCCAUCUAUCGGAACCUAAUUGCGUUAUUAGAAAACAUCUGAACGCCAUCUCUAACAAGGUCAUUUGUUCAGUAGAUUUUACUGUUCAAUUUUUUUAUUCCGGGGCCUUAAAUGAAAAUCGAUUCUUAAGGAGAAAACUCCAAAAACAGUCAAGUAAAUACGCCAUAUCAGAUAUAGCUCAAAAAGUUCGAGUCAAAUCUCAAUUAUAUUUAAAUGGGACCACAUGUCAAGCACCACCUAUCGAGUAAAAAAAGAAUCAUCGAUAUCGGUCCAUCCAGUAAAAUAGUAAUGAGGUUAAUAUAACGUUGGUCGACGUAAAAUAGCCAAGUAAAUAACCAGUAUUAGCGAUAACUCAAAAAUUAAAAGCUCAAAUAUAUUUAUAACGAAUAAACUGCUACUCUCUACUCUAGUGGAAUAUUGUAAUUUGAUCGAUAGUGAACGAAGUAAUUUCAUAACAUUUUGAUAGAUGGCGUUGUGGCAAAGUAUUGAACAUGACCACAGUCGUCUUAACAUCGUCAUGUAAAUACGUGUCAUCAAAGAUUACUCAAAAAUUGCUCAUUAUAUCUCAAUCAUAUUUAAAACGGACGACAUGACAAGUAUUAGCUUUUGAUUUAUACAAAAAAGAUCAAAAUCAGUGCACCCAGUAAAAAGAUAUAACGUAUAAUACAACGUAGGGUGACGAAAAAACCGUCAAGUAAAUACGCAAUAUUAGAUAUAACUCACAAA
Molecule: unclassified non-coding RNA, 882 nt
Filed under: Melitaea cinxia (Glanville fritillary)
Lineage: Eukaryota; Metazoa; Arthropoda; Insecta; Lepidoptera; Nymphalidae
Description: misc RNA ENSMCXG00005003076.1
Source: RNAcentral